AAUCUUCCGCAAUGGACGAAAGUCUGACGGAGCAACGCCGCGUGAGUGAUGAAGGUCUUCGGAUCGUAAAACUCUGUUGUUAGGCACGAACAAGCAUCGCUCGAAUAGGGCGGUACCUUGACGGUACCUAACCAGAAAGCUACGGCUAACUCCGUGCCAGCAGCCGCGGUAAUACGUAGGUGGCAAGCGUUAUCCGGAAUUAUUGGGCGUAAAGCGCGCGCAGGCGGUUUCUUAAGUCUGAUGUGAAAGCCCACGGCUCAACCGUGGAGGGUCAUUGGAAACUGGGAGACUUGAGGACAGAAGAGGAGAGUGGAAUUCCACGUGUAGCGGUGAAAUGCGUAGAGAUGUGGAGGAACACCAGUGGCGAAGGCGACUCUCUGGUCUGUAACUGACGCUGAGGCGCGAAAGCGUGGGGAGCGAACA
This 423-nucleotide ribosomal RNA is filed under the name uncultured bacterium. Its description in RNAcentral is "partial 16S ribosomal RNA". It matches the Rfam family "Bacterial small subunit ribosomal RNA", at positions 360 to 774 of the family's 1533-position model. The record is from RNAcentral.